Molecule: long non-coding RNA, 1559 nt
Filed under: Felis catus (domestic cat)
Lineage: Eukaryota; Metazoa; Chordata; Mammalia; Carnivora; Felidae
Description: lncRNA (ENSFCAG00000051261.1)
Source: RNAcentral
UUGGAACCAGAUUCAUUCACCCAGCCACAUUUAAGAGCUUCUGGGGCUGUGUGUCAGACAUUCUGCUAGUUGCUGGCAUAGAGUGAUGGAGAAAGUAAACACAGUGCCUGGUCUCAGGGGCUCCCAGACCAGCAGGGCAGGCUGACAGAUACACAUUUGCUCACACCUGACUACUAGCAGGGGCAACAUGCAGAGGCCCAUGAAGGAGGCGUUGGGCUGGAGCUAGGGCUCCGGGUGUGACUUGGCCCCUGCCUUUUGUCCGGACUGGAUGACUCAGGGCAGCCAGGCUGGAGAGGCAGAAGGAAGCAAGGAGACUGAUGGAGGAAAUGCUUCAGAGAAGAGGAAAUAUGCAGAAUGUCCCUUUCUCAUCCCACGUGGCUCAGGCCUAAUGACAAAAGCACGUCACCUACAGAUGUUCCUGAAUGGCACUGGGGCCCUUGGGCUUAGGAGGUUCAAGAUUCCAGCCAAGAGGCCCUAUCUGUAGGAGAAGGUAAGUAAAGAGCCAUAUUAGGUUCUAUGUCAAAGCCAAAAAAAUCAACUGCAAAAAUUGAAUUGGGGAUAUGUAGCUUUAGUAAGUGAUAAACACUACCUGAGUUAAAAGUGUAAAGCCAUCUUCAAAAAUCCUAAAGCAAUGUUAGAAGCCAUUCUAGAAGUGUAUUCACAGAUGCCAAUUAUCUGAGAGUUGUAAUCCUCUGACUGGGUAAGGGCACGCCCAGGACUUCACGUCCAGGCCUGGAUUAGACACCUAAAGAGUGCUGUGAACAUGCUGGAGGGUGACAGAAGUAUACUGAGAGAACAGUUGGUGUCUGGUGAAGAGGAGUCUGGGGGUGAGGUCCUGAUAGCCCUCUUCAAAAUGUCUGAAAUAUCGGGGCAAGAGGGCUUAGUUUUGAGAGUUUUUCUGAAUGGACUUAAGGGGUUGAAAUAGGGCCAGUUAUGUGAGUUCAACUGAUGGAAACACUGUCUAAACAUCAGAUAGGUUGCCUCAAGGCCUCUUUCUGUGGGGGUGAGGCGGGGGGUGGGGAGGAACAACCGUGGGCAGAAAUACUUAAGCAUCAGAGAAGCACUUUUACUAGAUAAUUUAAAAACCCCUUUUCACACUAGGAUUCCAUGCUUUUUUUGCUUCUCUAUUACUGUGUGUGGCAGAAUCUGCUAGUUAUUCCUUAUAUCCACUUUGUACUUUUUCUUUAGUACUAAAACCCAGUAUUUUUAACAUGCCUUCUGCAUGGAACAAGGUCUACUUUCCACAACCUUCCUUGGAACUAGGUGGGGCCAGGGGCUAAAACUGUGGCCAGUGAACUAAAAGUGGAAAUAUCAAGUUCAACUUCUGGGAAGUAGUAGUUAAGAGAGGGGGUAUACUCUUCUUUCCCCUUCUUUUUUGCUGCAGGCUGGAAUGUGGAUGUGGUGGCUGGAGUGCAGUAGUCAUUUUGGGCCAUAAGGUAGAAAGUCUAUGUUGAUAAGGAGCCUGGUUUCCUGAUGAUUGGGGAUGUUAUUACAACUCUAGUCUGUUUACCUUUCUUCUUCACUAUGUGAGAACAUAAUAAAGAACAUAGUAAAGUACA